RNAcentral lists this transfer RNA (75 nucleotides) under Clostridia bacterium. RNAcentral describes it as "tRNA-Glu". It matches the Rfam family "tRNA". From Rfam's summary of the family: Transfer RNA (tRNA) molecules are approximately 80 nucleotides in length. Their secondary structure includes four short double-helical elements and three loops (D, anti-codon, and T loops). Lineage: Bacteria; Bacillati; Bacillota; Clostridia. The record is from RNAcentral.
GGCUCCGUAGAUUAACGGCUAGAUCGCAGGACUUUCAAUCCUGUCAUAGGGUUUCGACUACCCUCGGAGCUACCA